AUUCUGUAGAUACUGUAAAAAAUAUGGACACCUAAUUGAUAAGUGCUUCAAGAUCCAUGGGUAUCCACAAAGUACCACUUUUAACAAGGGAAGGAGACCUGCUGCUGCUCAUCUAAGUACUGGUCUGGAUUCUCCUCAUUCUGAUGGACUUUGUCUGUUCCUCAAGGGAAUCCUCCUGAUAGCCAUCAAUCUAUUGCAAGAAUAGAUGGCCAGAGCUCUGUGAUACCAGGGUUGAGC
This 237-nucleotide long non-coding RNA is filed under the name Nicotiana benthamiana. Its description in RNAcentral is "long non-coding RNA (NBEN_LNC005064)". Lineage: Eukaryota; Viridiplantae; Streptophyta; Magnoliopsida; Solanales; Solanaceae. The record is from RNAcentral.